This 332-nucleotide ribosomal RNA is filed under the name uncultured bacterium. Its description in RNAcentral is "bacterial SSU rRNA". It matches the Rfam family "Bacterial small subunit ribosomal RNA", at positions 568 to 898 of the family's 1533-position model. The record is from RNAcentral.
UGCGUAGGCGGUGCGGUAAGUCUUCUGUGAAACCUCCGGGCUUAACUCGGAGCCUGCAGGGGAAACUGCCGUGCUGGAGUAUGGGAGAGGUGAGUGGAAUUCCCGGUGUAGCAGUGAAAUGCGUAGAUAUCGGGAGGAACACCUGUGGCGAAAGCGGCUCACUGGACCAUUACUGACGCUGAUGCACGAAAGCUAGGGGAGCAAACAGGAUUAGAUACCCUGGUAGUCCUAGCCCUAAACGAUGAUCGCUUGGUGUGACAGGUACCCAAUCCUGUCGUGCCGGAGCUAACGCGUUAAGCGAUCCGCCUGGGGAGUACGGUCGCAAGGCUGAA